This 324-nucleotide unclassified non-coding RNA is filed under the name uncultured Xylariales. RNAcentral describes it as "sequence contains ITS1". The stretch from base 1 to 105 matches the Rfam family "5.8S ribosomal RNA", at positions 50 to 154 of the family's 154-position model. The record is from RNAcentral. Lineage: Eukaryota; Fungi; Ascomycota; Sordariomycetes; Xylariales.
GAAAUGCGAUAAGUAAUGUGAAUUGCAGAAUUCAGUGAAUCAUCGAAUCUUUGAACGCACAUUGCGCCCAUUAGUAUUCUAUUGGGCAUGCCUGUUCGAGCGUCAUUUCAACCCUUAAGCCUAGCUUAGUGUUGGGAAUCUACUCUGAGUGGUGGCCAUCUCGGUGGUUACCCUGUAGUUCCUCAAAUCCAGCGGCAGAGCUGUGGUAUCCUCUGAGCGUAGUAAUUUACAUCUCGCUUUUUGUAGGUGCCGCGGUUGUAGCCGUAAAACCCCCUAUUUUUAAUGGUUGACCUCGGAUCAGGUAGGAAUACCCGCUGAACUUAA